GUUAAGCGACUAAGCGUACACGGUGGAUGCCCUGGCAGUCAGAGGCGAUGAAGGACGUGCUAAUCUGCGAUAAGCGUCGGUAAGGUGAUAUGAACCGUUAUAACCGGCGAUUUCCGAAUGGGGAAACCCAGUGUGUUUCGACACACUAUCAUUAACUGAAUCCAUAGGUUAAUGAGGCGAACCGGGGGAACUGAAACAUCUAAGUACCCCGAGGAAAAGAAAUCAACCGAGAUUCCCCCAGUAGCGGCGAGCGAACGGGGAGCAGCCCAGAGCCUGAAUCAGUGUGUGUGUUAGUGGAAGCGUCUGGAAAGGCGCGCGAUACAGGGUGACAGCCCCGUACACAAAAAUGCACAUGCUGUGAGCUCGAUGAGUAGGGCGGGACACGUGGUAUCCUGUCUGAAUAUGGGGGGACCAUCCUCCAAGGCUAAAUACUCCUGACUGACCGAUAGUGAACCAGUACCGUGAGGGAAAGGCGAAAAGAACCCCGGCGAGGGGAGUGAAAAAGAACCUGAAACCGUGUACGUACAAGCAGUGGGAGCACGCUUAGGCGUGUGACUGCGUACCUUUUGUAUAAUGGGUCAGCGACUUAUAUUCUGUAGCAAGGUUAACCGAAUAGGGGAGCCGAAGGGAAACCGAGUCUUAACUGGGCGUUAAGUUGCAGGGUAUAGACCCGAAACCCGGUGAUCUAGCCAUGGGCAGGUUGAAGGUUGGGUAACACUAACUGGAGGACCGAACCGACUAAUGUUGAAAAAUUAGCGGAUGACUUGUGGCUGGGGGUGAAAGGCCAAUCAAACCGGGAGAUAGCUGGUUCUCCCCGAAAGCUAUUUAGGUAGCGCCUCGUGAAUUCAUCUCCGGGGGUAGAGCACUGUUUCGGCAAGGGGGUCAUCCCGACUUACCAACCCGAUGCAAACUGCGAAUACCGGAGAAUGUUAUCACGGGAGACACACGGCGGGUGCUAACGUCCGUCGUGAAGAGGGAAACAACCCAGACCGCCAGCUAAGGUCCCAAAGUCAUGGUUAAGUGGGAAACGAUGUGGGAAGGCCCAGACAGCCAGGAUGUUGGCUUAGAAGCAGCCAUCAUUUAAAGAAAGCGUAAUAGCUCACUGGUCGAGUCGGCCUGCGCGGAAGAUGUAACGGGGCUAAACCAUGCACCGAAGCUGCGGCAGCGACGCUUAUGCGUUGUUGGGUAGGGGAGCGUUCUGUAAGCCUGCGAAGGUGUGCUGUGAGGCAUGCUGGAGGUAUCAGAAGUGCGAAUGCUGACAUAAGUAACGAUAAAGCGGGUGAAAAGCCCGCUCGCCGGAAGACCAAGGGUUCCUGUCCAACGUUAAUCGGGGCAGGGUGAGUCGACCCCUAAGGCGAGGCCGAAAGGCGUAGUCGAUGGGAAACAGGUUAAUAUUCCUGUACUUGGUGUUACUGCGAAGGGGGGACGGAGAAGGCUAUGUUGGCCGGGCGACGGUUGUCCCGGUUUAAGCGUGUAGGCUGGUUUUCCAGGCAAAUCCGGAAAAUCAAGGCUGAGGCGUGAUGACGAGGCACUACGGUGCUGAAGCAACAAAUGCCCUGCUUCCAGGAAAAGCCUCUAAGCAUCAGGUAACAUCAAAUCGUACCCCAAACCGACACAGGUGGUCAGGUAGAGAAUACCAAGGCGCUUGAGAGAACUCGGGUGAAGGAACUAGGCAAAAUGGUGCCGUAACUUCGGGAGAAGGCACGCUGAUAUGUAGGUGAAGUCCCUCGCGGAUGGAGCUGAAAUCAGUCGAAGAUACCAGCUGGCUGCAACUGUUUAUUAAAAACACAGCACUGUGCAAACACGAAAGUGGACGUAUACGGUGUGACGCCUGCCCGGUGCCGGAAGGUUAAUUGAUGGGGUCAGCGCAAGCGAAGCUCUUGAUCGAAGCCCCGGUAAACGGCGGCCGUAACUAUAACGGUCCUAAGGUAGCGAAAUUCCUUGUCGGGUAAGUUCCGACCUGCACGAAUGGCGUAAUGAUGGCCAGGCUGUCUCCACCCGAGACUCAGUGAAAUUGAACUCGCUGUGAAGAUGCAGUGUACCCGCGGCAAGACGGAAAGACCCCGUGAACCUUUACUAUAGCUUGACACUGAACAUUGAGCCUUGAUGUGUAGGAUAGGUGGGAGGCUUUGAAGUGUGGACGCCAGUCUGCAUGGAGCCGACCUUGAAAUACCACCCUUUAAUGUUUGAUGUUCUAACGUUGACCCGUGAUCCGGGUUGCGGACAGUGUCUGGUGGGUAGUUUGACUGGGGCGGUCUCCUCCUAAAGAGUAACGGAGGAGCACGAAGGUUGGCUAAUCCUGGUCGGACAUCAGGAGGUUAGUGCAAUGGCAUAAGCCAGCUUGACUGCGAGCGUGACGGCGCGAGCAGGUGCGAAAGCAGGUCAUAGUGAUCCGGUGGUUCUGAAUGGAAGGGCCAUCGCUCAACGGAUAAAAGGUACUCCGGGGAUAACAGGCUGAUACCGCCCAAGAGUUCAUAUCGACGGCGGUGUUUGGCACCUCGAUGUCGGCUCAUCACAUCCUGGGGCUGAAGUAGGUCCCAAGGGUAUGGCUGUUCGCCAUUUAAAGUGGUACGCGAGCUGGGUUUAGAACGUCGUGAGACAGUUCGGUCCCUA
This 2613-nucleotide ribosomal RNA is filed under the name Escherichia coli. RNAcentral's name for it is "partial 23S ribosomal RNA". It matches the Rfam family "Bacterial large subunit ribosomal RNA". The record is from RNAcentral. Lineage: Bacteria; Pseudomonadati; Pseudomonadota; Gammaproteobacteria; Enterobacterales; Enterobacteriaceae.